Ornithodoros turicata is the source of this 764-nucleotide long non-coding RNA. RefSeq lists it as uncharacterized. Lineage: Eukaryota; Metazoa; Arthropoda; Arachnida; Ixodida; Argasidae. The transcript has 4 exons. The record is from RefSeq and is a predicted model, not a curated record.
UUUGGCACAGCGUCGUUUGGAAAGUGCACUUCCUUGUUCUGACCUUGCCUUUUAUGGGCUGGAGCGAUAUGAUUCGUGAAUAUGCCACGGCGAAGUUGUCGAAGAUGCGACAGUGCUACGCUGUUAGAACAAUUCAUCGGAGCAUUCAAGUGUUACCUAUUAUAAGCUGCCAAAAGACCAAGCAGUGCGAAGCUCUUGGCUGACAGUGGUGCCUGCUAAUUUCCACUGCAAGGAUUUCGUCCACGAUGUUAUCAUAGGUUACGCGCGACUCCAGAGGCAAUUUGGAAUCUCGGCACGAAAUCGUCUGAUGAAAAUCUGAGGUGCCCGACGCAUAACAUUUUGAACGUGCCACGGAGGAUCAAGGCAAAAAACGAGAGCAAAAAAUGGUGCACGCUGAAGGCGGAAAUGAAGCAUGAUCUGGCUUGCAUCUGGUCAUGAAGAAAUUGCUGACACGUUAGUUGCAGUCCACCUCCACCAACAGGGUGGAAAACAAAGGUCGCCAUUCCGAUUAGCUGCUAUCUCCCAGUUCAAGCACUUUUGUGUCUGGACACUGGUUCCUGUGGAUGGGGUGUUACAAGCUUCACUGUCUGAUAUAGAAGUGAUGAGCAUCCAUAAGGACACAUGCCAGAAAGGGAGUCUCUUUGGGAUGACAAACCCUCAUCACCUCAUGAGGAUACAAUGGUUGACGAAUGGUUCUCAAGCACAUCGAAACUUCCAACAAAUAAUUCAUGAAAAAGUCAGUCAGUGCUAGCACCAGGAAUUGA